This 1177-nucleotide long non-coding RNA is filed under the name Homo sapiens (human). RNAcentral's name for it is "long non-coding RNA NONHSAT223361.1". The record is from RNAcentral. Lineage: Eukaryota; Metazoa; Chordata; Mammalia; Primates; Hominidae.
GUUCUAUAUCACGCGCCUGGGGCCCAAGGAUACAGGGAAAGAACGUCAGAGGAAGCUGCACCAAAGCGAGGCUGCGCAGGGCGCAAAAAAGCAGUCAGAGGGUGGCGCCUUUUUUAAAGAAGUUUCCAUCCUUUCUGUCCUAAAGCUCAGGCCGUUCCCCACCCCCACCGCUCGCUAGCCUUCUGUUCCCAGUCCCCUGGCAUGAUCUGAUCGCCUUUGAAGCAGUCGCAGCUGUUUUCCAGACGCCUUGCUCCUCAGGUCGGGGAGUGAUCUGAUGGCCCAGGUUCGAGAAACUUCUUUGCCCUCCGGCUCUGGGGUCCGCUGGAUCUCCGGAGGUGGGGGAGGAGCCUCUCCUGAGGAGGCGGUUGAGAAGGCGGGGAAAAUGGAGGAGGCGGCGGCGGGGGCUACGAAGGCGUCUUCGAGACGUGAAGCCGAGGAGAUGAAGCUGGAGCCAUUACAAGAGCGUGAGCCCGCGCCGGAGGAGAACUUGACGUGGAGCAGCAGCGGCGGCGACGAGAAGGUGCUCCCUUCAAUCCCCCUUCGCUGUCACAGCAGCUCCUCGCCCGUUUGCCCGCGCCGCAAGCCCCGCCCUCGGCCCCAGCCCCGGGCCCGCUCCCGCAGCCAGCCUGGGCUCUCGGCCCCACCCCCGCCUCCAGCCCGGCCCCCGCCCCCGCCGCCACCCCCGCCCCCACCCGCACCGCGGCCCAGGGCCUGGCGUGGAUCCCGGCGCAGAUCCCGGCCUGGGUCCAGGCCUCAGACACGGAGAAGCUGCUCUGGUGACCUAGACGGGUCGGGGGAUCCUGGCGGCUUAGGGGACUGGUUGCUGGAGGUCGAGUUUGGUCAGGGUCCCACAGGCUGCUCUCAUGUGGAGAGCUUUAAAGUAGGUAAGAACUGGCAGAAGAACCUGAGGUUGAUCUACCAGCGUUUCGUUUGGAGUGGGACCCCAGAGACUAGGAAACGUAAAGCAAAGUCAUGCAUCUGUCACGUAUGUAGUACCCAUAUGAACAGACUCCACUCUUGUCUCUCCUGUGUCUUUUUUGGCUGCUUCACUGAGAAACAUAUUCACAAACAUGCAGAAACAAAGCAGCACCAUUUAGCUGUAGACCUUUAUCAUGGGGUCAUAUAUUGCUUCAUGUGUAAGGAUUAUGUAUAUGACAAAGACAUAGAACAGAUUGCC